AAAUCCCGAUAUUUCACUUACACAAAUAUCCGCCCGAGAACUACGAGCACAAACGCUUAAAACUCUAAGGACUUGGCGGUGCCCUAAACCCACCUAGAGGAGCCUGUUCUAUAAUCGAUAACCCACGAUACACCCGACCACUUCUUGCCAAAACAGCCUACAUACCGCCGUCGCCAGCCCACCUCCAAUGAGAGCACAACAGUGGGCCCAAUAGCCCACACCCGCUAACAAGACAGGUCAAGGUAUAGCCCAUGAAGUGGAAGAAAUGGGCUACAUUUUCUAAAAUAGAACAACCCCCAACGAAAGGAGACCUGAAACCUGUCUCCAGAAGGCGGAUUUAGCAGUAAAGGAAAACAAUCAAGUUCCCUUUAAACUGGUCCUAGGGCACG
This 389-nucleotide ribosomal RNA is filed under the name Lorius lory (black-capped lory). RNAcentral's name for it is "partial 12S ribosomal RNA". It matches the Rfam family "Bacterial small subunit ribosomal RNA", at positions 801 to 1383 of the family's 1533-position model. The record is from RNAcentral. Lineage: Eukaryota; Metazoa; Chordata; Aves; Psittaciformes; Psittaculidae.